RNAcentral lists this long non-coding RNA (1415 nucleotides) under Nicotiana benthamiana. RNAcentral's name for it is "long non-coding RNA (NBEN_LNC031120)". Lineage: Eukaryota; Viridiplantae; Streptophyta; Magnoliopsida; Solanales; Solanaceae. The record is from RNAcentral.
CACAUUUCAAAGCUCAAAACAUACCCGAAACAACAGAGAAAAUCAAAUGAAAAAUUCAGCAAAGAAGUUUGAGUGUCAGCAGCUCUAAAAACAACAGCAAGCAAACAUUUAUCAACCAGCUAACACCAUAUCUUGAACCCAAAAUAAGAAUCAACCAGUUACUUCAAAUUUUUUUAAAAUCCAAAAGAAAUCACAGAACAACUUCAAUAUAACAGUUCUUGGAUAACAUACUUAAGAAAUAAGGAAGCAUGACCUUUUAUAGAAACCUUUAGGGCAGCAGAAAUGAUUCAAUCUUUUGCUAGUUACCCCCUCUUUGAAUUUUUGUUCUUGCAUUUUGGACCUUAAGUUUAUGUUUUGUUUGUUAAAAUUACCCCCCUCCCCACUUCCUAGAAGCUUUUUAGGCAGUUAUAAAAGAUUUUCCUUAUCCAGACUCCCUAAAUUACCAUUUAAUUUUACUAAUUACUUUCAGCAAACCAAACCUUCAACCAAAUUUCCUAAAGGUCUUUCGGUUACUAAACUACCAGGUUAUAACGACCUUUGUGCUCCUGAACCAUUGAAACCCAAAUUAUGAUCCAAAAGACCACAUACCACAAAUAUAUAAGCUCAAAAAAAAUUCUACAAUUCCGAGCAUCAAGAGAAAAAUCUAACAAAGCAAAAAAAAGAAAAAAAAAAGUGGGACAACAGGCAAACAUGAAAUCAGAAGUACUGAAGAAAAAAGGUUAAUUAAACUAAUAUGUUGAUAAUCACUAAUAUAACCUAAACCUAAACAUGCAAUAGAGAUCAAAUCAAACUAACAAAGAAAGAAAAGGAAAUAAGAAGAAACAGACAUUAUGCGACCCAAAAUGCAUACAAAAAUGAACAGAAAAGAUAAGAGAUAAAUGGAAAGAAAAUAGAAGAAGAUGAGCAUGACAAUAAACAAAAACAAAAUUGAGGGAAAGCACUGAAAUACCUAGAAUAAACAAAUGGAAAAUGGCUUGAAUGGACUUCAUGUGCUUUUUGAUUUGUGGCAAAAAGAAGUGUUAGUCGAUUUGUUCUUGUGAUAACAAACAUCUAGCACUCAUUUUUGCCAAAAUCAUCUUCGAAGGUUAGAGAACAAUGAAAUCGGACCCUUUUAAUAAGGAAUCGGAGGCAGGAACGGGUCUAGGGUUCCAUUUAAGAUAUGAAAUUAGAGAACGAUGAAAGAGAUUUCGGGGAAAUUGAUAGUGAUUUAGUGUUUGAGGGAUUAUGGGGAGUGUGUGCUGAAUUUUUAGGAGGAUUUGGAGGUCGCCGCCGGCAGGAGAUGUUGAAGAAUUCAGAGGCGGCGUGUUAGGGUUUUGGUCUGAGACGAGAGAGGCAUAAGGAGAUAAGUUUUGUACUAGGUUUCUGAAGGUAUUUCGAAAAUUUUUAUUUAAGAUGGGGGGAGGGGAAUCUCUCGG